UUAUAACUUUAAAAAGUUUGGCUUAAAGCUUUCUUAUGUGUCCGACGAUCAAAUUUUAAUCUUAAGCAGUUUGCAUUCUUUAAGUAAACAACUGUUUUUCGGUGGUGAACUUUUGUUUAGCCUCGCUCGAAAGCUUCCUGGAGCAUCUUUGGGGGUUCGUUACGAAGAUGGAGCCUCUGCUUUUGUAGCUACUUUGAGCCCCUUUACUGGACACUUGGCUACUUCCUACACUGCUUUGAUGCUAAAAGAUUUCUCCAUGUCUACGAGAUACGAGUAUAAUCUUUUUAGCGCCUUAAGCGAUUUAUCCGUUGGAGUGGAAAUUCUUCCUAAUCCACAUUUUAAAUUUAAAUUUCGUGUGGGACUUCUUCAGGGCCUCGGCUUAAUGUUCAAUUUUAAUUUCCCACACUUCUCUUUUACGCUCUCGGCGCACGCGAAAUCUGAUUCCCU
Zophobas morio is the source of this 447-nucleotide long non-coding RNA. RefSeq lists it as uncharacterized. NCBI's taxonomy places the organism in Eukaryota, Metazoa, Arthropoda, Insecta, Coleoptera, Tenebrionidae. The transcript is spliced from 4 exons. The record is from RefSeq and is a predicted model, not a curated record.